AUGGCGGACGCCAAUAGCAGCAGCAACCCGCUGCUCGCCGACUUUGAUUUCCCGCCCUUCGACCGCGUCAAGCCUAUGCACGUCCGUCCCGGGAUCCGCGCGCUCCUCGCCCGCCUCGAGGGCGAGCUGGAGGAGCUCAAGAAGGGCGUGGAGCCGGCAUGGGAGUGCUUGGUCCACCCACUCGAGCGCAUCGUUGAUAGGCUUGACAUCGUAUGGAACGGCAUCGACCACAUCAAGGUCGUCAAGGACUCGCUCGACCUCCACGCCGCCGUCGAGGACGUCCAGACUAUGGGUCUAGAUCUGGCAGUUGAAAGUGCUUAA
Molecule: ribosomal RNA, 321 nt
Filed under: Triticum aestivum (bread wheat)
Lineage: Eukaryota; Viridiplantae; Streptophyta; Magnoliopsida; Poales; Poaceae
Description: partial small subunit ribosomal RNA
Source: RNAcentral